GCUUGAGAAAACUUAGUUUCAAUUUUAAUGUUUAAUUUCAACAUUGGUGCGUUUGCUAAUGUUUUCCACUGGUGUCUCCUAUUGUUGGGUAAAUUAAUACCUCUUAUGGCACAAAUGUUGUCAUUUACUUUGCCAUGUGUAUAACAAAGCAAAAAGAUAUAUAUAAUUUCAUGUAGCACAUGCCCAUGGCUGGUCUAAGCUGUAUAAUUCAGACAUUGUAGGUAAAAGUAAAAUGUUAUUACCGAGA
Melanotaenia boesemani (Boeseman's rainbowfish) is the source of this 247-nucleotide long non-coding RNA. RefSeq lists it as uncharacterized. NCBI's taxonomy places the organism in Eukaryota, Metazoa, Chordata, Actinopteri, Atheriniformes, Melanotaeniidae. The transcript is spliced from 3 exons. The record is from RefSeq and is a predicted model, not a curated record.